ACUACGGGAGGCAGCAGUGGGGAAUAUUGGGCAAUGGGCGCAAGCCUGACCCAGCAACGCCGCGUGAAGGAAGAAGGCUUUCGGGUUGUAAACUUCUUUUCUCAGGGACGAAGCAAGUGACGGUACCUGAGGAAUAAGCCACGGCUAACUACGUGCCAGCAGCCGCGGUAAUACGUAGGUGGCAAGCGUUAUCCGGAUUUACUGGGUGUAAAGGGCGUGUAGGCGGGACUGCAAGUCAGAUGUGAAAACCAUGGGCUCAACCUAUGGCCUGCAUUUGAAACUGUAGUUCUUGAGUACUGGAGAGGCAGACGGAAUUCCUAGUGUAGCGGUGAAAUGCGUAGAUAUUAGGAGGAACACCAGUGGCGAAGGCGGUCUGCUGGACAGCAACUGACGCUGAGGCGCGAAAGCGUGGGUAGCAAACAGGAUUAGAUACCCGGGUAGUC
RNAcentral lists this ribosomal RNA (443 nucleotides) under uncultured bacterium. Its description in RNAcentral is "partial 16S ribosomal RNA". It matches the Rfam family "Bacterial small subunit ribosomal RNA", at positions 338 to 795 of the family's 1533-position model. The record is from RNAcentral.